GGAAGGAUCAUUGAAUCUAUUAACAAUCCACACCUGUGAACCUCGCUUGUUGGCCUCUGGCUCUUGUUAACAGCAAGAGACAGGCUGCCUGGACCGGAUUAACUUCUGGUUCGGCGCAGGGCCUCUCCUAGGCUCUCCUAACCCGAGAGUCUCUGAGGGGUCGGUCUUUAUAUCCAACCAACAACACCAAACCAAACCUAUAUAAAUCAAACCCGAGGAUGGCUUAGAGCCGGACUCACGAACCAAGACAACUCUGAACAACGGAUAUCUUGGCUCGCACAACGAUGAAGAACGCAGCGAAAUGCGAUACGUAGUGUGAAUUGCAGAAAUACGUGAAUCAUCGAAUCUUUGAACGCAAAUUGCGCUCGCGGCUUCGGCCAAGAGCAUGUCUGCCUCAGCGUCGGGUUAAUACUCGCUCCCAACAUUCCUUGUGAGUGUUGGCGAAGCGGACCUGACCUUCCCAGCAAUUUAAGUAUUGCUGGGUCGGUUGAAGUGCAGAGGUUGUCGCAUGGACCCGCUCAAGGGCCUCAACUGGGUAGGCUAUUCGUAGCUAUAUGCUUUAGUUGAUGGCUUGGGACUUUGCAAUGACGGCCCAAUCCAGGAACUGAGUUGCAAUACACUCAGCUAUAUAUAACCCAUUUUCUCGACCUGAGCUCAGGCAAGAUUACCCGCUGAACUUAAGCAUAUCAAUAAGCGGAGGAAAAGAAACUAACCAGGAUUCCCCUAGUAACGGCGAGCGAACCGGGA
Molecule: unclassified non-coding RNA, 747 nt
Filed under: uncultured Chlamydomonadales
Lineage: Eukaryota; Viridiplantae; Chlorophyta; Chlorophyceae; Chlamydomonadales
Description: sequence contains 18S rRNA gene, ITS1, 5.8S rRNA gene, ITS2, 28S rRNA gene
Rfam family: 5.8S ribosomal RNA (bases 250-403)
Source: RNAcentral